Molecule: ribosomal RNA, 464 nt
Filed under: uncultured bacterium
Lineage: Bacteria
Description: partial 16S ribosomal RNA
Rfam family: Bacterial small subunit ribosomal RNA
Source: RNAcentral
GACGAACGCUGGCGGCGUGCUUAACACAUGCAAGUCGAGCGGAAAGAGCCUGCUUGCGCCAGGAGCCCGCGGCGCGAGGGGGAGAAAAGCGCGGGAAUCACCCGGGUAGGGGGGGAUAACAACCGGAAACGGGGGCAAAUACGGCAGACGACGAGAGCGAGAUGGUGGGGGGUGGUCGAAACCGAUGGGAGGAGAUGGGCUGAGGGCGUAUUAGCUAGUUGGUGGGGUAAUGGCCUACCAAGGCGACGAUGGGUAGCUGGCCUGGGAGGUUGAGCGGCCACACUGGGCCUGCGACACGGCCCAGACUCCUACGGGAGGCAGCAGUGGGGAAUCUUGGACAAUGGGCGCGCGCCUGAUCCAGCAACGCCGCGUGUGUGAUGACGGCCUUCGUGUUGUAAACCGCUUUCAGCUGGGACGAAGCGGUAGUGACGUUACCUGCAGAAGAAGCACCGGCUAACUACGUG